Long non-coding RNA from Dreissena polymorpha, 386 nucleotides. RefSeq lists it as uncharacterized. The record is from RefSeq and is a predicted model, not a curated record. NCBI's taxonomy places the organism in Eukaryota, Metazoa, Mollusca, Bivalvia, Myida, Dreissenidae. The transcript is spliced from 5 exons.
CUUAUUACCGCGUUUACUGUCGACAUUAAUUUUACAGGGUGCUGGAGAAUUCGCCGAGGCUGCAACAAGUUAUAGUUGUAAGAACUGUUAUGUGCCUGAUAAAAAUCCUUUCAUAGAUGAUAAUAGGUGCUUCCUAAUAUGCGGGUAAAGAAGAUUUGCGUAAGAUCCUGGGGCCACUGGGCAAAAGGAUAGAGGUGCACCAGUGGACAAGGUCCAAGAGGGGUCAGUGGCUUUGCAGGUUGUUAGGUAGAUCCUGGAAUUGGAACUCCUGGCUGUAAAGGAGAGCCCGGACAAACAGGUCAACCCGGAUUGCCUGGGGCUGCUACAGGCGCUGGAAGCAAGGGGACAAGGAGACCCUGGUAAUGAUGGAAAACCUGUACGGGAUG